This is a long non-coding RNA of Harpegnathos saltator (Jerdon's jumping ant), 840 nucleotides long. RefSeq lists it as uncharacterized. NCBI's taxonomy places the organism in Eukaryota, Metazoa, Arthropoda, Insecta, Hymenoptera, Formicidae. The record is from RefSeq and is a predicted model, not a curated record. The transcript is spliced from 3 exons.
ACGCGACGCCCGGCGUCGAGUUUCCUCGUAGCGGGCGGGGCUGUUACACUCUCAGUGCGCUCCACGACGCCGAACUGACCACGUACAACGUGUGACGUCUCGACCCCACGACCUUCCUCUCCUUCUCUCUCUUUCUUCCAAGACGACGACGACGGCAACAGGGACGAGGACGAGGACGAGGACGAAAACGACGGCGACAGGAUCUCGGCGUCGUCGAACACGAUCGCGCGAGUUGGGCCCGACACGGUGCUCGCGAGCGUUCGGGGAUCGUGAGGACUCUCGUCGCGAGUUAACAAGUGCUGGGAAUGAUAAGGGAGCGUGAUAGAGAAGGGAGAGAAUUGGCGACAGUGCUUAUAUCGGGGUGAAGCGGGAUCGAAGAGGUAACGGGAUCGGUUGUUAAUUGGCGAAUGAGAGCGGCGGCGUUCACGAGAGAGACACCUUCUGCAAGGUGACGAAGAUUAAAGAGGAUCGAUAUCUAUAAUCUGAGAUAUAUCGAGGUGUCUGUAAUAUAUCUCGAUCGGCCACAUCGGAGGAAUAAUUGCAAAUUAAUAAGCGAUCGUGAGCGCUCGUGAUUAAAAUUCCUGUGAAAAGUGAUCGUCGCGCGUGUUCCUUUCAUUGUCGUUCUCAAGAGGAGGAGAUACUUGGAUCGAGCAUCGACAACUUCGAUUAGCACCGUUGCCAGAACCGUCGGAGAUCCGCCCUCGCCGAAUCGUCCGUCCACCAUCCCUUGUCCGCAGAGCGGCGCAGCGCUGGAACAUCGCGACGAAGGGAGCGCGCGUCUCCCCCGUCCUCCGGCGUUCGCCAUAAGCGAACGUCCAACAUAAAUCCUCGACAUCGCGU